ACUAAUACCGCAUAUUGUAGUUAAGUUGCAUGACUUGAUUAUGAAAGAUUUAUCGCUUAUGGAUGGACUCGCGUCAGAUUAGAUAGUUGGUGAGGUAACGGCUCACCAAGUCAACGAUCUGUAGCCGAACUGAGAGGUUGAUCGGCCGCAUUGGGACUGAGACACGGCCCAGACUCCUACGGGAGGCAGCAGUGGGGAAUAUUGCGCAAUGGGGGCAACCCUGACGCAGCAACGCCGCGUGCAGGAAGAAGGUCUUCGGAUUGUAAACCGUUGUCGCAAGGGAAGAAGACAGUGACGGUACCUUGUGAGAAAGUCACGGCUAACUACGUGCCAGCAGCCGCGGUAAUACGUAGGUGACAAGCGUUGUCCGGAUUUACUGGGUGUAAAGGGCGCGUAGGCGGACUGUCAAGUCAGUCGUGAAAUACCGGGGCUUAACCCCGGGGCUGCGAUUGAAACUGACAGCCUUGAGUAUCGGAGAGGAAAGCGGAAUUCCUAGUGUAGCGGUGAAAUGCGUAGAUAUUAGGAGGAACACCAGUGGCGAAGGCGGCUUUCUGGACGACAACUGACGCUGAGGCGCGAAAGUGUGGGGAGCAAACAGGAUUAGAUACCCUGGUAGUCCACACCGUAAACGAUGGAUACUAGGUGUAGGAGGUAUCGACCCCUUCUGUGCCGCAGUUAACACAAUAAGUAUCCUACCUGGGGAGUACGAC
Molecule: ribosomal RNA, 710 nt
Filed under: uncultured bacterium
Lineage: Bacteria
Description: bacterial SSU rRNA
Rfam family: Bacterial small subunit ribosomal RNA
Source: RNAcentral